CAAAGCCAAAAAAAGUUCAACUUACCUAAAUGUGACCAUUCAAACUCCAUCAUCUCUCACUUCUGGAGUUGUUGCUUAUAUUUGUAGCAGCGGUGUAGUAAAGCCUUUUUCCACAACCAAAAGUCUCUUCUCAAGUAAAAUGAAAAACCGUGAAUUAAUUUCGGUUAGUAGAACCUGCAAAAGGAACCGUAAUCAAGUUUAUGAAAGACAUGGUUCAAAUCUUAUUAUAAGAUACACUGGUGCAAAUCAUACCAUAUAUAUACAAAUCAUUUUAACGGACAAAGUACUCUCAAUAAUAAAUCAUGUUAUGAUCACUCAAGGCAUGAAAUUAAACCACAACCUCCUAAACAGAGUUGAUGCAUAUUAGUUCCUUUUCAAUAAGGUGCUAUAUAUCAACAAAGGCUAAUUUUGAAAUUAUCAACUUAUGUGUUUAUGGUUAAAAAAUAAUAGGAAGGUUUGUUCAUGCAAAUGAAGCACUAACUAAAAUUUCCUACUAAUAAGGCAUAUCUUAAUAGAUUAAAUCAAACUAACAGUCACUAUUCCUAGUUAGUUAAUGGCUGAUGUCUAUGCACAUGUGGAAAAAGGGAAAGAAACCAAACCUCUUCAUUAUUGUGUGACUGCAAAAGAAAAAAAAAAUCAGAAUUUUUUUAACCUGAUUGCAAUUAAAAAAUAAAUAAAAGGCUUAAUAAUGUCAUGUAAUUAUAGGUUGUGUGGUGAAGAUAUCAAUUUAAUCUUUUUUUUGAAAUAGGCAUUGGGAAACCAAGCUGAAUCUUUUAUUGUGUGACUCCAAAAAAAAGAUUAUUUGUGUUUGUAGUUGUUCAAUCCGGAUAUAUACAUCAAGCCUAUUAGAGUUUUUUUCUCAUUUCCAAGCUGAAAAAUAAUACUAACCAUGCUUAUGUUAUGCACAUGCCUAUAGUAGUUGUUUAAUUU
RNAcentral lists this long non-coding RNA (930 nucleotides) under Trifolium pratense (red clover). RNAcentral's name for it is "long non-coding RNA (TPRA_LNC008225)". Lineage: Eukaryota; Viridiplantae; Streptophyta; Magnoliopsida; Fabales; Fabaceae. The record is from RNAcentral.